AUUGAACGCUGGCGGCAUGCUUUACACAUGCAAGUCGAACGGUAACAGGCCGCAAGGUGCUGACGAGUGGCGAACGGGUGAGUAAUGCAUCGGAACGUGCCCAGCCGUGGGGGAUAACUACUCGAAAGAGUAGCUAAUACCGCAUACGAUCUAUGGAUGAAAGCGGGGGACCGUAAGGCCUCGCGCGAUUGGAGCGGCCGAUGUCAGAUUAGGUAGUUGGUGGGGUAAAGGCUCACCAAGCCAACGAUCUGUAGCUGGUCUGAGAGGACAACCAGCCACACUGGGACUGAGACACGGCCCAGACUCCUACGGGAGGCAGCAGUGGGGAAUUUUGGACAAUGGGCGCAAGCCUGAUCCAGCAAUGCCGCGUGCAGGAAGAAGGCCUUCGGGUUGCAAACUGCUUUUGUACGGAACGAAACGGCUCUGGUUAAUACCCGGGGCUAAUGACGGUACCGUAAGAAUAAGCACCGGCUAACUACGUG
This 482-nucleotide ribosomal RNA is filed under the name uncultured bacterium. RNAcentral's name for it is "partial 16S ribosomal RNA". It matches the Rfam family "Bacterial small subunit ribosomal RNA", at positions 30 to 507 of the family's 1533-position model. The record is from RNAcentral.